This 497-nucleotide ribosomal RNA is filed under the name uncultured bacterium. RNAcentral's name for it is "partial 16S ribosomal RNA". It matches the Rfam family "Bacterial small subunit ribosomal RNA", at positions 28 to 507 of the family's 1533-position model. The record is from RNAcentral.
GAUGAACGCUGGCGGCGUGCCUAAUACAUGCAAGUCGAGCGAACAGAUAAGGAGCUUGCUCCUUUGACGUUAGCGGCGGACGGGUGAGUAACACGUGGGUAACCUACCUAUAAGACUGGGAUAACUUCGGGAAACCGGAGCUAAUACCGGAUAACAUUUGGAACCGCAUGGUUCUAAAGUGAAAGAUGGUUUUGCUAUCACUUAUAGAUGGACCCGCGCCGUAUUAGCUAGUUGGUAAGGUAACGGCUUACCAAGGCGACGAUACGUAGCCGACCUGAGAGGGUGAUCGGCCACACCGGAACUGGGACACGGUCCAGACUCCUACGGGAAGCAGCAGUAGGGAAACUUCCGCAAUGGGCGAAAGCCUGACGGAGCAACGCCGCGUGAGUGAAGAAGGGUUUCGGCUCGUAAAACUCUGUUAUUAGGGAAGAACAAACGUGUAAGGAACUGUGCACGGCUUGACGGUACCUAAUCAGAAAGCCACGGCUAACUACGUG